This 468-nucleotide ribosomal RNA is filed under the name uncultured bacterium. Its description in RNAcentral is "partial 16S ribosomal RNA". It matches the Rfam family "Bacterial small subunit ribosomal RNA", at positions 28 to 507 of the family's 1533-position model. The record is from RNAcentral.
GACGAACGCUGGCGGCGUGCUUAACACAUGCAAGUCGAACGGAAAGGCCCUGCUUUUGUGGGGUGCUCGAGUGGCGAACGGGUGAGUAACACGUGAGUAACCUGCCCUUGACUUUGGGAUAACUUCAGGAAACUGGGGCUAAUACCGGAUAGGAGCUCCUGCUGCAUGGUGGGGGUUGGAAAGUUUCGGCGGUUGGGGAUGGACUCGCGGCCUAUCGGCUUGUUGGUGGGGUAGUGGCUUACCAAGGCUUUGACGGGUAGCCGGCCUGAGAGGGUGACCGGCCACAUUGGGACUGAGAUACGGCCCAGAGUCCUACGGGAGGCAGCAGUGGGGAAUAUUGCACAAUGGGCGGAAGCCUGAUGCAGCAACGCCGCGUGCGGGAUGACGGCCUUCGGGUUGUAAACCGCUUUCGCCUGUGACGAAGCGUGAGUGACGGUAAUGGGUAAAGAAGCACCGGCUAACUACGUG